Molecule: unclassified non-coding RNA, 143 nt
Filed under: uncultured Capnodiales
Lineage: Eukaryota; Fungi; Ascomycota; Dothideomycetes; Capnodiales
Description: sequence contains ITS2
Source: RNAcentral
CACCACUCAAGCCUGGCUUGGUAUUGGGCGACGGGGCUCCCCCGCGCCUGGAUUUCACCGGCUGGACGACCCGUAUCUCAGCGUUGCGGCAACAGAUUCGCUGGCGAGAGGGGCGGUCCGCGCCGUUAAAACGUCAUUCAAGG